AGCUCUGUAAGCGUAUAUCAAAGUUGUUGCAGUUAAAACGCUCGUAGUCGAAUUUUGGCGUGGUGCUUCUGAGACCCCUGAUUGGGUGUUGAAGGUAGUCCCGCCUUUGUGGAUGGGGGCGUGGUGGUUCUUUACUGAAUUGCUGCGUGUUCGCCACUGUUUACUGUGAAAAAAUUAGAGUGUUCAAAGCGAGCGAUUGCCAUGAAUACAUUAGCAUGGAAUAAUAGAAUAGGACCUGAUCCUGUUUUGUUGGUUUGUCAGUAUUGGGUAAUGAUUAAGAGGGACGGUCGGGGGCAUUUGUAUUCCAGGGUUAGAGGUGAAAUUCUUGGAUCCUUGGAAGACAAACAGCUGCGAAAGCGUCUGCCAAGGACGUUUUCA
Molecule: ribosomal RNA, 378 nt
Filed under: uncultured eukaryote
Lineage: Eukaryota
Description: SSU rRNA
Rfam family: Eukaryotic small subunit ribosomal RNA
Source: RNAcentral